ACGUAGGGGGCAAGCGUUAUCCGGAAUUAUUGGGCGUAAAGAGUGCGUAGGUGGUUUUUUAAGCGUGAGGUGAAAGGCAAUAGCUUAACUAUUGUAAGCCUUGCGAACUGGAAGACUUGAGUGCAGGAGAGGAAAGUGGAAUUCCUAGUGUGUCUGUGACAUGCGUAGAUAUUACGAGGAGCAACAGUAGCGAAGGCAACAAACAGGACUAUAACCGCCACUAAUGCAAGAGAGUGUGGAAAGCAAAGAG
This 250-nucleotide ribosomal RNA is filed under the name uncultured prokaryote. RNAcentral describes it as "partial 16S rRNA". It matches the Rfam family "Bacterial small subunit ribosomal RNA", at positions 525 to 775 of the family's 1533-position model. The record is from RNAcentral.